This 461-nucleotide ribosomal RNA is filed under the name uncultured bacterium. RNAcentral's name for it is "partial 16S ribosomal RNA". It matches the Rfam family "Bacterial small subunit ribosomal RNA", at positions 28 to 523 of the family's 1533-position model. The record is from RNAcentral.
GAUGAACGCUGGCGGCGUGCCUAAUACAUGCAAGUCGUGCGGCAGCGAGCCCUUCGGGGUGUCGUCGAGCGGCGGACGGCUGAGUAACACGUAGGAACAUACCCCCAAGUGAGGGAUAACUGCUCGCAAGAGUAGCUAAUACCGCAUGUGGUCUAAGGAUUAAAGCUUCGGCGCUUUGGGAAUGGCCUGCGUUCGAUUAGCUAGAUGGUGAGGUAAAGGCUCACCAUGGCGACGAUAGAUAGCUGGUCUGAGAGGAUGAUCAGCCAGACUGGGACUGAGACACGGCCCAGACUCCUACGGGAGGCAGCAGUAGGGAAUUUUCCACAAUGGGCGAAAGCCUGAUGGAGCAACGCCGCGUGCAGGAUGAAUGCCUUAGGGUUGUAAACUGCUUUUAUAUGUGACGAUUAUGACGGUAGCAUAUGAAUAAGGAUCGGCUAACUCCGUGCCAGCAGCCGCGGUAA